RNAcentral lists this ribosomal RNA (466 nucleotides) under uncultured bacterium. RNAcentral's name for it is "bacterial SSU rRNA". It matches the Rfam family "Bacterial small subunit ribosomal RNA", at positions 328 to 792 of the family's 1533-position model. The record is from RNAcentral.
GUACCAGACUCCUACGGGAGGCAGCAGUGAGGAAUAUUGGUCAAUGGGCGAGAGCCUGAACCAGCCAAGUCGCGUGAGGGACGACGGCCCUACGGGUUGUAAACCUCUUUUGCCGGGGGACAAACGGCGGCACGCGUGCCGUCCUGAGGGUACCCGGAGAAAAAGCAUCGGCUAACUCCGUGCCAGCAGCCGCGGUAAUACGGAGGAUGCGAGCGUUAUCCGGAUUUAUUGGGUUUAAAGGGUGCGUAGGCGGGAUGCCAAGUCAGCGGUCAAAUGGCGGGGCUCAACCCCGGCCUGCCGUUGAAACUGGGUGCCUUGAGUGGGCGAGAAGUACGCGGAAUGCGUGGUGUAGCGGUGAAAUGCAUAGAUAUCACGCAGAACUCCGAUUGCGAAGGCAGCGUACCGGCGCCCAACUGACGCUGAAGCACGAAGGCGUGGGUAUCGAACAGGAUUAGAUACCCCUGUA